AGGCGAUGAAGGGCGUGCUAAUCUGCGAUAAGCGCCGGUAAGGUGAUAUGAACCGUUAUAACCGGCGAUACCCGAAUGGGGAAACCCAGUGUGACUCGUCACACUAUCAUUAACUGAAUCCAUAGGUUAAUGAGGCGAACCGGGGGAACUGAAACAUCUAAGUACCCCGAGGAAAAGAAAUCAACCGAGAUUCCCCCAGUAGCGGCGAGCGAACGGGGAGGAGCCCAGAGCCUGAAUCAGCAUGUGUGUUAGUGGAAGCGUCUGGAAAGGCGCGCGAUACAGGGUGACAGCCCCGUACACAAAAGCGCAUGUGCUGUGAGCUCGAUGAGUAGGGCGGGACACGUGGUAUCCUGUCUGAAUAUGGGGGGACCAUCCUCCAAGGCUAAAUACUCCUGACUGACCGAUAGUGAACCAGUACCGUGAGGGAAAGGCGAAAAGAACCCCGGCGAGGGGAGUGAAAAAGAACCUGAAACCGUGUACGUACAAGCAGUGGGAGCACCCUUUGGGUGUGACUGCGUACCUUUUGUAUAAUGGGUCAGCGACUUAUAUUCUGUAGCAAGGUUAACCGAAUAGGGGAGC
RNAcentral lists this ribosomal RNA (579 nucleotides) under Salmonella enterica. RNAcentral's name for it is "partial 23S ribosomal RNA". It matches the Rfam family "Bacterial large subunit ribosomal RNA", at positions 44 to 666 of the family's 2925-position model. Lineage: Bacteria; Pseudomonadati; Pseudomonadota; Gammaproteobacteria; Enterobacterales; Enterobacteriaceae. The record is from RNAcentral.